CAGCUGCUAUUUCACUUGCUGCUCAGGAAAGAACUACAUAGAACUUUGGAUAUUUUGUCCUAGGAUUUGAACAAAACUGAUUUUAUUGACCUAAGAUGGCAGCAGAUAUCACUAAAUUUACAGUAGUAAUCCUUACUUCAAGUGAGGGUGACCUCGAAUCCAGGAGUCCAUGUGGGACUAAACUAGCUGCAAAGCACUAAGAAGCCAGAGUGACUAGAACUCAAUAUGAAGCAAAGAACUGA
This is a non-coding RNA of Phascolarctos cinereus (koala), 242 nucleotides long. NCBI's taxonomy places the organism in Eukaryota, Metazoa, Chordata, Mammalia, Diprotodontia, Phascolarctidae. The record is from RefSeq and is a predicted model, not a curated record.